Molecule: ribosomal RNA, 580 nt
Filed under: Penicillium sp. 19DL/L
Lineage: Eukaryota; Fungi; Ascomycota; Eurotiomycetes; Eurotiales; Aspergillaceae
Description: eukaryotic LSU rRNA
Rfam family: 5.8S ribosomal RNA (bases 198-351)
Source: RNAcentral
GGAACCUGCGGAAGGAUCAUUACCGAGUGAGGGCCCUCUGGGUCCAACCUCCCACCCGUGUUUAUUCUACCUUGUUGCUUCGGCGGGCCCGCCUCACGGCCGCCGGGGGGCAUCCGCCCCCGGGCCCGCGCCCGCCGAAGACACCAUUGAACUCUGUCUGAAGAUUGCAGUCUGAGCAGAUUAGCUAAAUCAGUUAAAACUUUCAACAACGGAUCUCUUGGUUCCGGCAUCGAUGAAGAACGCAGCGAAAUGCGAUAAGUAAUGUGAAUUGCAGAAUUCAGUGAAUCAUCGAGUCUUUGAACGCACAUUGCGCCCCCUGGUAUUCCGGGGGGCAUGCCUGUCCGAGCGUCAUUGCUGCCCUCAAGCACGGCUUGUGUGUUGGGCUUCGCCCCCCGGCUCCCGGGGGGCGGGCCCGAAAGGCAGCGGCGGCACCGCGUCCGGUCCUCGAGCGUAUGGGGCUUCGUCACCCGCUCUGUAGGCCCGGCCGGCGCCCGCCGGCGACCCCAAUCAAUCUUUUCAGGUUGACCUCGGAUCAGGUAGGGAUACCCGCUGAACUUAAGCAUAUCAAUAAGCGGAGGAA